This 253-nucleotide ribosomal RNA is filed under the name uncultured bacterium. Its description in RNAcentral is "partial 16S ribosomal RNA". It matches the Rfam family "Bacterial small subunit ribosomal RNA", at positions 524 to 776 of the family's 1533-position model. The record is from RNAcentral.
UACGGAGGGUGCGAGCGUUGUCCGGAAUCACUGGGCGUAAAGCGUGCGCAGGCGGCUUCUCAAGUCAGGGGUGAAAGCCCAGAGCUCAACUCUGGAAUUGCCUUUGAGACUGAGUGGCUUGAGUACGAGAGAGGUGAGUGGAAUUCCCAGUGUAGAGGUGAAAUUCGUAGAUAUUGGGAAGAACACCGGUGGCGAAGGCGGCUCACUGGCUCGUAACUGACGCUCAUGCACGACAGCGUGGGGAUCAAACAGG